AAGCAAUCGAAUAGCUCUGUUAGUCAUAAAAUCAAUGUGAAAUGUAAAUGUGAGCUCCGAAUCGAGCCAAACUCCAAGAUCUUUAAUUAGGUUCUGUCUCUCGAGCGAUCCAGAGUUCAAAUGUUGUUUGUAUUAAGAGUUAAAUUGUUCUGUCUGCACCACAAAGAAAACCUAUCCUGUAACCUGUAAUCGAUGACAGUCAAGAGUUGAAGCUACAACCUUAAAGAGCUUUAAAUCUUCCGCAAAUGCUAAAAAUUGGCAAAAGCGAAAAAUAUUUUUUUUGUCAUUAAUGAAAACAUUGAAAAGGAAUGUGGAAAGAUGUCCCCCUUGUCGGACACCAGACGUCACAACAGCCUCUAACGAAAUGUAAUUUUUAACUUUAACUGAUUGCUUUUGGUUAGUCAUAUUACUGCGAAACCAAUUUAGAAGAUUUCCAAAGAUUCCAACCCCUGAGAGCUUCCCUACCAGAAUGCCAUUGGUCAACCCUGUCGAAGGCCUUGGAGAAGUCAGUAUAUAUAGCAUCUACCUGAUACCGACUAUCAAAGGUCCCCAACAGCGAACGCUCAUAGCUCAGGAAGUUCGAAACAGUUGACCUUCCCUUAACAAAACCAUGCUGUUCGGUUAAAAUAACGUUUUUAAAAUGAGAGGUGACGUAAUCGGAAACUAUACCCUCAAAUAUUUUCGAAAACAAGCAGAUUUUAGAGAUUGGGCGAUAGUUUUUAUGUUAGCCCUGUCACCAUCUUUGAAAAUGGGUGUAACACAAGAUUUUUUCUAAUAUGAAGGAAAAACGCCGCAGUUGAGAAAAAACACGAUGGUCUCCUAAAGAAUUUGUGCAUUUGAAAGAUUUAUGAGUUUUCUUCUUUUCUAGGAUUAAAGAUUUAAGGUUAUCAUUAAUCCACUUGGGACAUUUUGGAGUUCUAUAGCCAGCGAUAGGUGUAAAUAACUCAAUAGCACAAAAGACAACAUCAUAGAAUUGCGAAACCAUCAUAACUACAUCCGCACACUUAAAAAUACAAUCCCAGUUGACAUUUGACAAAAACAGAUUAAUUUCUUAAUGACCAAGCUAAAUUUGCAAACGAAGGCUGGAUGAGGCGCAUCCAGUCUUAAUAACGGCCUAUCACAGAUCGUAACACAGGUAUCAUGCUGACUAGAGAACAGCAAAUCAAGAAAAUUGCCAUACUUAUUUGGGAUCUGUAUGUUUUCAAAUAACCCCAAAUAUGCCACACAAUCGGAAAUAACAAUUGCCUCUAGACGCCUCUUAAAUAGUAAUAGAAGUCUGAAAAGUAAACUUCCCCAGGAGAAUAUUCUCGAUUAUCUGGGGCAGUUCCAAAUAGUGCUGGCAAAUUGCCUAGUAGCAGCGGCAACCCCAAAAGAAGAAGAAGAAGAAACAAUUGCCUCAUUUGAGAGAUUCCCGCAACGCGUAGCACCAGGUUCCCUGUUCUACCAUGAUAGUUCAGGUAAAUUAAAAUCUCCCCAGAGAAAAAUACAUUACGGAAAGACAACAAUUUUCAUACACCUCGGCAAGGAGACACCUGGGAUAUAAGCAUUGCCGACCAGAAUCUUAUUAAUAUCCAUGGUUACCGGAAUAAAUAUUUGCUCGACAGUAUUAAUAGGAGGGCCAAGAAGUUGGCAGGAUAUAGACCUCUUCACAGCAUUAAGCACCCCUCCCUAAGUCAAACAGUUAUUAGUUGCUGCUGACCUAUCGCACCUAAAGACUGCUAUCCAUCAGGGGCUGCAGUUUUGAUUUUAGACCGACAUUCUGGUAAUAAAAUGUCAGAGUUUGGUGAUAUGGCUUUUCGAGAAUUCCAGAACGUAAACAGCUUGAAGAUGAUAUUGUUAGGCCAAAAACUGCUAUCAUUUAAGGCGUCAUAAAACGUUUCACAAUGCCAACUUUAAAACUUUUAGAAUUAGAUUUGCAGGGCAAUUCUUCCACCGUCAACAUGCUGUCCAUUGAAA
Molecule: long non-coding RNA, 1956 nt
Organism: Cylas formicarius (sweet potato weevil)
Lineage: Eukaryota; Metazoa; Arthropoda; Insecta; Coleoptera; Brentidae
Exons: 3
Source: RefSeq, a predicted model, not a curated record